UAGAAAGCGAUCAUCGCUGUGGAAAUCACCAUUGUCACCUUCAUAUUCUUCAUCAUCGUCUUCCAUUAGGGAGAUUCCAGAAGAAGAAAACGAACAGAACCCAGUAUCUGCACCAGUGGCAGCAGGUUGCCCAGGCUGCUUAUCUUAUGUUUUGAUAUUGAAAAAUAAUCCAAAAUGUCCCAGGUGCAAUUCGGUUGUUCCAGUUCCAAUAGUAAAGAAGCCUAGGAUAGAUCUCAACAUUCCAAUAUGAUAAAUCAGAGAGAUUUGAUGUUUUUGUGAUUUUGUACAUGAUAUAUGGAAUUAAGGGUUUCAGAGAAUAGAAUUGUAGGCAAAAAAGAGAUAUAUCAUUUUUUUUUUUUUUAUGGCUUUUUAUCCCAUAACAGUUAGGAAAUUUAUGCAUCUUAGACCUCAAUUUGCUGCCAUGUCUCCG
RNAcentral lists this unclassified non-coding RNA (430 nucleotides) under Hevea brasiliensis (rubber tree). The record is from RNAcentral. Lineage: Eukaryota; Viridiplantae; Streptophyta; Magnoliopsida; Malpighiales; Euphorbiaceae.